GAGUUUGAUCGUGGCUCAGAACGAACGCUGGCGGCAGGCUUAACACAUGCAAGUCGAACGAUGUAGCAAUACAUAGUGGCGCACGGGUGAGUAACGCGUGGGAACGUGCCUUUUAGUUUGGGAUAACACCGGGAAACUGGUGCUAAUACCGAAUACGCCCUCAGGGGGAAAGAUUUAUCGCUAAAAGAUCGGCCCGCGUUAGAUUAGCUAGUUGGUGGGGUAAUGGCCUACCAAGGCGACGAUCCAUAGCUGGUCUGAGAGGAUGAUCAGCCACACUGGGACUGAGACACGGCCCAGACUCCUACGGGAGGCAGCAGUGGGGAAUAUUGGACAAUGGGCGAAAGCCUGAUCCAGCCAUGCCGCGUGAGUGAUGAAGGCCUUAGGGUUGUAAGCUCUUUCAGUGGGAAGAUAAUGACGGUACCACAGAAGAAGCCCCGGCUAACUUCGUGCCAGCAGCCGCAGUAA
RNAcentral lists this ribosomal RNA (465 nucleotides) under uncultured Alphaproteobacteria bacterium. RNAcentral's name for it is "bacterial SSU rRNA". It matches the Rfam family "Bacterial small subunit ribosomal RNA", at positions 9 to 523 of the family's 1533-position model. The record is from RNAcentral. Lineage: Bacteria; Pseudomonadati; Pseudomonadota; Alphaproteobacteria.